RNAcentral lists this ribosomal RNA (450 nucleotides) under uncultured Glomeromycotina. RNAcentral describes it as "SSU rRNA". It matches the Rfam family "Eukaryotic small subunit ribosomal RNA", at positions 569 to 1024 of the family's 1831-position model. Lineage: Eukaryota; Fungi; Glomeromycota. The record is from RNAcentral.
AGCAGCCGCGGUAAUUCCAGCUCCAAUAGCGUAUAUUAAAGUUGUUGCAGUUAAAAAGCUCGUAGUUGAAUUUCGGGAUCAGACUGUCGGUCGUGCCUCGGUACGCACUGGCAUUAUUGGUUCCUACCUUCUGAAGAACCGCGAUGUCAUUAAUUUGGUGUCGUGGGGAAUCAGGACUGUUACUUUGAAAAAAUUAGAGUGUUUAAAGCAGGCGCACGCUUGAAUACAUUAGCAUGGAAUAAUGAAAUAGGACGUUUGAUUCUAUUUUGUUGGUUUCUAGGAUCGACGUAAUGAUUAAUAGGGAUAGUUGGGGGCAUUAGUAUUCAAUUGUCAGAGGUGAAAUUCUUGGAUUUAUUGAAGACUAACUACUGCGAAAGCAUUUGCCAAGGAUGUUUUCAUUAAUCAAGAACGAAAGUUAGGGGAUCGAAGACGAUCAGAUACCGUCGUAGU